AUGGGGACCGGGCUGGGUCCCAAGCACAUCGGCGGAUUUCCCUGCGCCCCGGCGGGCGUGAACCAUGCCGAAUUCUACAGGGAGUGCGCGCCGCCUCGCUACCACCUCGUGGUGAAGGACUACGGGCAUCUCGACAUGCUGGAUGACAAUGUGCCCUACGUUAUCAACAACUGCAUGUGCAUGAGGAACCAACACGACACCAAAGACCUUGCUAGGAGGACCAUGGGAGGAGCCAUGGUUGCCUUCCUCAGGGCUAAAUUGUGA
This 264-nucleotide ribosomal RNA is filed under the name Triticum aestivum (bread wheat). RNAcentral's name for it is "partial small subunit ribosomal RNA". The record is from RNAcentral. Lineage: Eukaryota; Viridiplantae; Streptophyta; Magnoliopsida; Poales; Poaceae.